This 506-nucleotide ribosomal RNA is filed under the name uncultured bacterium. RNAcentral describes it as "partial 16S ribosomal RNA". It matches the Rfam family "Bacterial small subunit ribosomal RNA", at positions 29 to 523 of the family's 1533-position model. The record is from RNAcentral.
AGUGAACGCUGGCGGUAGGCCUAACACAUGCAAGUCGAACGGCAGCACAGGAGAGCUUGCUCUCUGGGUGGCGAGUGGCGGACGGGUGAGGAAUACAUCGGAAUCUACUUUUUCGUGGGGGAUAACGUAGGGAAACUUACGCUAAUACCGCAUACGACCUACGGGUGAAAGCAGGGGAUCUUCGGACCUUGCGCGAUUGAAUGAGCCGAUGUCGGAUUAGCUAGUUGGCGGGGUAAAGGCCCACCAAGGCGACGAUCCGUAGCUGGUCUGAGAGGAUGAUCAGCCACACUGGAACUGAUACACGGUCCAGACUCCUACGGGAGGCAGCAGUGGUGAAUAUUGGACAAUGGGCGCAAGCCUGAUCCAGCCAUACCGCGUGGGUGAAGAAGGCCUUCGGGUUGUAAAGCCCUUUUGUUGGGAAAGAAAUCCAGCUGGCUAAUACCCGGUUGGGAUGACGGUACCCAAAGAAUAAGCACCGGCUAACUUCGUGCCAGCCGCCGCGGUAA